Schistosoma mattheei is the source of this 45-nucleotide non-coding RNA. Lineage: Eukaryota; Metazoa; Platyhelminthes; Trematoda; Strigeidida; Schistosomatidae. The record is from Rfam.
AUCCAGCUGACGAGUCUCAAAUAGGACGAAACAUGCGUCCUGGUU